GAGAGAGUAUACGUGCAGAGUAUCCUGGGACUUCUAAUCCUUUAGGUAGGAGGUUUGCGUCCUCCCUUUCUUU
This 73-nucleotide transfer RNA is filed under the name Diodora graeca. Its description in RNAcentral is "tRNA-Ser". Lineage: Eukaryota; Metazoa; Mollusca; Gastropoda; Lepetellida; Fissurellidae. The record is from RNAcentral.